UGGAGAGCACCAGGAGCGGUGCUCGCGAUCUCAAUACAUCAUGUUAGUAGUGUUACAAUUGGUAUCAGAUUCAUCUCCGAUCCUAGCGGAUCCUCUGGCGCAUACCUUGUGUCCGCAAUACCAGAUGCGUCCAGAAGCAGUCCGAAGCAAUGGAGAUAUGGCAGCUCUCCUUCAGUCCAUUCAAGCGCAAAAUGAUGUGAUUAAACAGGCUUUGGAGGAGAAUACAUCCGUGGUUUGAGAUCUUGCUACGUGGAAGCCACACAUGGAGGUUGAGGUGAGUUCUCUCCGCGCCGAUGUGGGACAUUUAUCACAGAAAGUGGAUACUCCAGUAGCCUUUCAGGAAGCUCUGCACCCUGCACUCAAGGUGUUCGAUCGAAUGCCUCAGGACUACACAACCCCGGUUGGUGCUCAGAAGGAUUCAGUUCUUCUUCAUCAGCACUUGGGUCAUCGCAAUUUAGACUCCCACCUGAGUGAUGGAUAUGGGGUAUUCACUACCUUGACUCCAUCUAUAGUCACGGGUAUUCAUAAUGCUCCUCCACCUGUUACACCAAUUCAUUCUCCAUUGCAUACUGCUCCCCAUCAAUUUGAACACUUAUUGUCUGUAUACUCUAUUCAAUUGGCUGUCUCUUUACCCCAACUCAGUUUUCCUCGGUUUGAUAGUCAGACCACCCUAAAAUGUGAAAAACAAAGUGUGAAUAAUAUUUUGAAGUGUUUUCC
Zea mays is the source of this 717-nucleotide long non-coding RNA. RefSeq lists it as uncharacterized. Lineage: Eukaryota; Viridiplantae; Streptophyta; Magnoliopsida; Poales; Poaceae. The record is from RefSeq and is a predicted model, not a curated record. The transcript is spliced from 2 exons.